GAUUGCAGGCUGAAACUCGCCUGCAUGAAGUCGGAAUUGCUAGUAAUCGCAGAUCAGCAUGCUGCGGUGAAUACGUUCCCGGGCCUUGUACACACCGCCCGUCACACCAUGGGAGUCGGUAACACCCGAAGCCUGUAGUCUAACCGCAAGGAGGACGCAGUCGAAGGUGGGAUUGAUGACUGGGGUGAAGUCGUAACAAGGUAAC
This 205-nucleotide ribosomal RNA is filed under the name uncultured bacterium. Its description in RNAcentral is "partial 16S ribosomal RNA". It matches the Rfam family "Bacterial small subunit ribosomal RNA", at positions 1296 to 1500 of the family's 1533-position model. The record is from RNAcentral.